AUCUUGAUGUUGUGAUACAAACCCUUGAAGAAUGUGGAUUUUCACAUGAUCGAUUCUACAUUCAUUGUGAUGGAGCUUUAUUUGGACUCAUGAUGCCUUUUGUCAAACGGGUAAGUUAUCACAUGUAUAGCUCCUGAUUCAUAGAGGGAAGAUAGCAAAGCUCCCUCGUCACAUGUGAGGCAUGAACAUACUGCUCUUGUUCUUCCAAUUUAUUGUUCCUUUCUAGCAAGUUUUAUAAUGUAAGCUGGUAUGGGUUUCCUCUGGUUUUUGGCAUAAAUCGGGGCUAGAUAAAGUGAUUCAGGAAUAGUAGUUCUAAAGAACAGAGAUAAAGUACCAUAAGAGUCCUUUCUUGCUUUUUAUGGUCUGUCUAUGUAUGUGUCAAAAAAUUUAUGAUGUUUGUUGGCAUUCUUAAAAGAUGUGAAAGGAAUCCUGUCUUAAGCUUGAUAUCAUUCUUGGUGGUGAACAGGCACCGAAGGUUAGUUUCAAGAAGCCAAUUGGAAGUGUGAGUGUUUCUGGCCAUAAGUUUGUGGGUUGUCCAAUGCCUUGUGGUGUUCAGAUCACAAGGAUGGAACACAUCAAUGUGCUUUCAAGCAAUGUUGAAUACCUAGCAUCAAGGGAUGCUACGAUCAUGGGAAGUCGGAAUGGUCAUGCUCCUCUUUUCCUUUGGUAUACUCUCAAUAGAAAAGGUUAUAAAGGAUUUCAAAAAGAUGUUCAGAAAUGCCUCAGAAAUGCUCACUACUUGAAAGACCGACUGCACGAGGCUGGGAUUAGUGCUAUGCUAAAUGAACUCAGCAGUACGGUUGUGUUUGAGCGGCCCCGGGAUGAGGAGUUUGUUCGUAGGUGGCAACUUGCUUGUGAAGGGAAUAUAGCACAUGUGGUGGUGAUGCCUAAUGUGACAAUCGAAAAACUGGAUUUCUUCUUGAAUGAAUUAGUUGAAAAACGGUCGACUUGGUAUCAAGGGAAUGUUCAACCUCCUUGUAUUGCAGCAGAGAUAGGGAAAGCGAAUUGCGUUUGUGCUCUGCACAAGUGAAAAAAAAUAUCAGUCUAUGAUUCAGGAAUUCCUCUAUUUUCAUGCAGCUUGUCAUUUGGUUUUAAUGAAAUAUAGAUUAGAUUCAUAAGUUUUUCGUUUUACAUUCUCAUUGUUAUGGUAAAUAGUAGUGCCUAUCGACAUGUUCAUAUGUUGACUAUCUGUCUGCCUUGGUCAGGGGCUUUUGUGUGCGGCUUGUGACAUAUUCAUAUACCAACUUUAUUGAUUAACCUAUGUCUGGUCUUGUAAGGCAUAUGUACUGUAAUGCUCCUACCACACUUCGAUUAAGUAUUAUGCC
RNAcentral lists this long non-coding RNA (1325 nucleotides) under Gossypium raimondii (Peruvian cotton). RNAcentral's name for it is "long non-coding RNA (GRAI_LNC001679)". Lineage: Eukaryota; Viridiplantae; Streptophyta; Magnoliopsida; Malvales; Malvaceae. The record is from RNAcentral.